Molecule: non-coding RNA, 387 nt
Organism: Camellia sinensis
Lineage: Eukaryota; Viridiplantae; Streptophyta; Magnoliopsida; Ericales; Theaceae
Source: RefSeq, a predicted model, not a curated record
AGGUAUUUUUGUUGAAUAGUAUUCAUGAUCGAGAAACUAGCGGCUUUUCUGCUGCUUGCUUUGGGUUGGGAGGGUUUCGAGCACAAUCUAACUCUAACCCACAUAAAUAGGUAAUGAAGCUCAAGGAACAGCUUUCCGAGGCAGAGAAGGAGAUACAGAGGCUACUGGAGAGAUGUGAUGGUGUUUCAAGCAACAGCCCGGCUUCAUUGUUCUCCAUGGAAGCCAUGGAUCCACCUCCUUUUCUAGGGGAGUUUGGGAUGGAAGGGUUUGGAAAUAUUUUUUAUGUGCCAGAAAACAAUUACAAUCAUGGCAUGGAUUGGGUUAAUCUUAUAUGAUAUGUAAUUAAAGCAAUUCUAGUAUUAAUGUAGCUAGUGACCAUCUUAUGUA